RNAcentral lists this unclassified non-coding RNA (942 nucleotides) under Hevea brasiliensis (rubber tree). The record is from RNAcentral. Lineage: Eukaryota; Viridiplantae; Streptophyta; Magnoliopsida; Malpighiales; Euphorbiaceae.
GAUGAGGUUCAUAUGCUUGAUAUGGAAUGCUUUUCAUACUUGAAUCGUGCCUUGGAAUGUUCACUGUCUCCAAUUGUGAUUUUUGCCACUAACAGAGGCAUUUGUACUGUCAGAGGAACAGAUAUGGUUAGUCCACAUGGCAUUCCAGUUGACUUGUUAGAUCGGUUGGUGAUUGUCAGAACUGAAACUUAUGGUCCAGCUGAAAUGAUACAGAUAUUAGCUAUACGUGCUCAGGUGGAGGGACUAGAAAUAGAUGAAGAGAGCCUUGCGUAUUUGGGAGAGAUUGGACAACAAGCUUCUUUAAGGCAUGCUGUUCAGCUUCUAUCUCCAGCUAGUGUAGUCGCCAAAAUGAAUGGUCGUGAUAAAAUCUGCAAGGUGGAUCUCGACGAAGUGAAUUCAUUGUACCUAGAUGCUAAGUCUUCUGCAAGACUUCUUCAAGAGCAGCAGGAUAGAUACAUCUCAUAAUAAAUUGCAAGUCAACUCGACUCUACUCGAAUGGAGGAGACAUAAGUUCUACAAAUGUGUAAGUUAAGCAUGACAAUUGGUUCCUUGCUUCAAGAUUAGAUUAAAGGCAUUUUGCUAGCAAUGUUUGAACAAGACGAAGGCAAUAGACUCACCUUUCGAUGGACACAAGCCCUCAGGACUGGACACUCGGACUUUGGGAAGUUUACCCUAGGGUAGUCCUUCGUUUGGAGUUGCUUUUUUCGUUUUUCAAAGUGGAAUUCCUCGCUUUCAUCUAUGACGUGUGUCAAACUCAUCUUUUGUUGUUGCCAAGUGGAAUGAUUCAUUCAACCUCGAUAUCAGUUACCAACACAUCAGAGUGUCAAAUGUGAAUUCUGAUACACUUAGCUGUAAAUGCAUAUAUGAUGUAGCAUUCUUGCACUAAUGGCUGUUCAUGUCAAAGAUAGUUACAUUGUCCCAAACCUUAUAAAGGACAACUCG